CCUACGGGAGGCAGCAGUAGGGAAUUUUCCACAAUGGGCGAAAGCCUGAUGGAGCAACGCCGCGUGGGUGAAGAAGGUCUUCGGAUCGUAAAACCCUGUUGUUAGAGAAGAAAGUGCGUGAGAGUAACUGUUCACGUUUCGACGGUAUCUAACCAGAAAGCCACGGCUAACUACGUGCCAGCAGCCGCGGGAAUACGUAGGUGGCAAGCGUUAUCCGGAUUUAUUGGGCGUAAAGGGAACGCAGGCGGUCUUUUAAGUCUGAUGUGAAAGCCUUCGGCUUAACCGGAGUAGUGCAUUGGAAACUGGGAGACUUGAGUGCAGAAGAGGAGGGUGGAACUCCAGGUGUAGCGGUGAAAUGCGUAGAUAUAUGGAAGAACACCAGUGGCGAAAGCGGCUCGCUGGUCUGUAACUGACGCUGAGGUUCGAAAGCGUGGGUAGCAAACAGGAUUAGAUACCCCUGUAGUC
This 465-nucleotide ribosomal RNA is filed under the name uncultured bacterium. Its description in RNAcentral is "partial 16S ribosomal RNA". It matches the Rfam family "Bacterial small subunit ribosomal RNA", at positions 338 to 795 of the family's 1533-position model. The record is from RNAcentral.